This 165-nucleotide ribosomal RNA is filed under the name Photobacterium kishitanii. RNAcentral describes it as "partial 23S ribosomal RNA". It matches the Rfam family "Bacterial large subunit ribosomal RNA", at positions 1 to 161 of the family's 2925-position model. RNAcentral also lists the same sequence under 1 other name. The record is from RNAcentral. Lineage: Bacteria; Pseudomonadati; Pseudomonadota; Gammaproteobacteria; Vibrionales; Vibrionaceae.
GUUGUAUGGUUAAGUGACUAAGCGUACACGGUGGAUGCCUUGGCAGUCAGAGGCGAUGAAGGACGUAUUAACUUGCGAUAAGCCCAGAUUAGGCAGUAAAAGCCACUUGAGUCUGGGAUUUCCGAAUGGGGAAACCCACUAGCAUAAGCUAGUAUCAUUAACUGA